GAAUGCAGGCAUGAGUAGCGACAAGGCAAGUGAGAACCUUGCCCGCCGAAAGACCAAGGGUUCCUGGGCCAGGCCAGUCCGCCCAGGGUGAGUCGGGACCUAAGGCGAGGCCGACAGGCGUAGUCGAUGGACAACGGGUUGAUAUUCCCGUACCCGUGUGUGGGCGCCCGUGACGAAUCAGCGGUACUAACCACCCAAAACCGGAUCGAUCACUCCCCUUCGGGGGUGUGGAGUUCUGGGGCUGCGUGGGAACUUCGCUGGUAGUAGUCAAGCGAAGGGGUGACGCAGGAAGGUAGCCGUACCAGUCAGUGGUAACACUGGGGCAAGCCGGUAGGGAGAGCGAUAGGCAAAUCCGUCGCUCACUAAUCCUGAGAGGUGACGCAUAGCCGGUUGAGGCGAAUUCGGUGAUCCUCUGCUGCCAAGAAAAGCCUCUAGCGAGCACACACACGGCCCGUACCCCAAACCGACACAGGUGGUCAGGUAGAGCAUACCAAGGCGUACGAGAUAACUAUGGUUAAGGAACUCGGCAAAAUGCCCCCGUAACUUCGGGAGAAGGGGGACCGGAAUAUCGUGAACACCCUUGCGGUGGGAGCGGGAUCCGGUCGCAGAAACCAGUGAGGAGCGACUGUUUACUAAAAACACAGGUCCGUGCGAAGUCGCAAGACGAUGUAUACGGACUGACGCCUGCCCGGUGCUGGAAGGUUAAGAGGACCCGUUAACCCGCAAGGGUGAAGCGGAGAAUUUAAGCCCCAGUAAACGGCGGUGGUAACUAUAACCAUCCUAAGGUAGCGAAAUUCCUUGUCGGGUAAGUUCCGACCUGCACGAAUGGCGUAACGACUUCUCAACUGUCUCAACCAUAGACUCGGCGAAAUUGCACUACGAGUAAAGAUGCUCGUUACGCGCGGCAGGACGAAAAGACCCCGGGACCUUCACUACAACUUGGUAUUGAUGUUCGGUACGGUUUGUGUAGGAUAGGUGGGAGACUGUGAAACCUCGACGCCAGUUGGGGCGGAGUCGUUGUUGAAAUACCACUCUGAUCGUAUUGGGCAUCUAACCUCGAACCCUGAAUCGGGUUUAGGGACAGUGCCUGGCGGGUAGUUUAACUGGGGCGGUUGCCUCCUAAAAUGUAACGGAGGCGCCCAAAGGUUCCCUCAACCUGGACGGCAAUCAGGUGGCGAGUGUAAAUGCACAAGGGAGCUUGACUGCGAGACUUACAAGUCAAGCAGGGACGAAAGUCGGGAUUAGUGAUCCGGCACCCCCGAGUGGAAGGGGUGUCGCUCAACGGAUAAAAGGUACCCCGGGGAUAACAGGCUGAUCUUCCCCAAGAGUCCAUAUCGACGGGAUGGUUUGGCACCUCGAUGUCGGCUCGUCGCAUCCUGGGGCUGGAGCAGGUCCCAAGGGUUGGGCUGUUCGCCCAUUAAAGCGGCACGCGAGCUGGGUUUAGAACGUCGUGAGACAGUUCGGUCUCUAUCCGCCGCGCGCGUCAGAAACUUGAGGAAACCUGUCCCUAGUACGAGAGGACCGGGACGGACGAACCUCUGGUGCACCAGUUGUCCCGCCAGGGGCACCGCUGGAUAGCCACGUUCGGUCAGGAUAACCGCUGAAAGCAUCUAAGCGGGAAACCUUCUCCAAGAUCAGGUUUCUCACCCACUUGG
RNAcentral lists this ribosomal RNA (1655 nucleotides) under Mycobacterium tuberculosis. RNAcentral describes it as "bacterial LSU rRNA". It matches the Rfam family "Bacterial large subunit ribosomal RNA", at positions 1292 to 2825 of the family's 2925-position model. The record is from RNAcentral. Lineage: Bacteria; Bacillati; Actinomycetota; Actinomycetes; Mycobacteriales; Mycobacteriaceae.